Prosopis cineraria is the source of this 606-nucleotide long non-coding RNA. RefSeq lists it as uncharacterized. The transcript is spliced from 4 exons. The record is from RefSeq and is a predicted model, not a curated record. Lineage: Eukaryota; Viridiplantae; Streptophyta; Magnoliopsida; Fabales; Fabaceae.
UUUGAAGUAGGCGCGCUUGUUUUCCGGCUAACGAAAGUGCUUGGAUGGUAAUGGAUCAUCUCUUCGAUUUGCAAUCUCAUGGUGGAUCACUCAGAUCUGGCUUCCCUGAGUUGCGAUGGAGUCUGACAAAGCAUACGAUGAUGAUGAAGAUAAAGGGGAUAAAAAUAUCAUUCAGUAUUAUGGCGUGUGUUGAACUAUGCCUAUCAAAUCAACGAUAUACCAAAGGUGGAAUCAAAACCUGGUGAAGUCUAUGCUCGAUUCCUGACUCAGGAAUUGAUCCAAGGGUUCCUCAUGCAACCAAACCUGAAAUAUUAACCACCUCUGUUACUAACACGCAUGGAAUUCUCACAAAGAAACAAAGUCCUAUUCAUUCAUCUAUGAUUUCAAGCCAAACCAUGCAUCUAGGGUGGUUGCGACGGCUAGUCAUGCAGUCAUGACUGGCAACAUGUUUCUAGUCUAUUACAAACCCACAAGUCUUUGGUUUUGAUGUUCAUGACAAUGUAUGCUAAUUGCUGAGAACGUGAAGCCUAAUAUAAUUUAUGUUGGCAUUGAGGAUGGAGAUAAUCUAGAUGUUGUCAUGAGCGCAAAUUCAAAGAAAAAUCUCAU